Molecule: microRNA precursor, 67 nt
Filed under: Bombyx mori (domestic silkworm)
Lineage: Eukaryota; Metazoa; Arthropoda; Insecta; Lepidoptera; Bombycidae
Description: mir-2774 microRNA precursor family
Rfam family: mir-2774 microRNA precursor family
Source: Rfam by way of RNAcentral
ACAACAUACGGACUGUCGGUCUACCGAGCAAUAUUACCCGCUCGAUGGAAGGUCUGUCCUUCGUAGU